AAACCAACCGGGAUUGCCUCAGUAACGGCGAGUGAAGCGGCAAAAGCUCAAAUUUGAAAUCUGGCACUUUCAGUGUCCGAGUUGUAAUUUGUAGAAGUAGUUUUGGGACUGGUCCUUAUCUAUGUUUCUUGGAACAGGACGUCAUAGAGGGUGAGAACCCCGUAUGAUGAGGCCCCCAGUCCUUUGUAAAACGCUUUCGAAGAGUCGAGUUGUUUGGGAAUGCAGCUCUAAGUGGGUGGUAAAUUCCAUCUAAAGCUAAAUAUUGGCGAGAGACCGAUAGCGAACAAGUACAGUGAUGGAAAGAUGAAAAGAACUUUGAAAAGAGAGUGAAAAAGUACGUGAAAUUGUUGAAAGGGAAGGGCAUUUGAUCAGACAUGGUGUUUUGCGCCCUUUGCUCCUUGUGGGCGGAGGAUACGCAGCUCACUGGGCCAACAUCAGUUUUGGGAGCAGGAUAAAUCUGUAGGAACGUAGCUUUCUUCGGGAAGUGUACUAGCUACGGAAGUACUGCUACCU
Molecule: ribosomal RNA, 513 nt
Filed under: uncultured Hanseniaspora
Lineage: Eukaryota; Fungi; Ascomycota; Saccharomycetes; Saccharomycodales; Saccharomycodaceae
Description: eukaryotic LSU rRNA
Rfam family: Eukaryotic large subunit ribosomal RNA
Source: RNAcentral